Molecule: ribosomal RNA, 254 nt
Filed under: uncultured bacterium
Lineage: Bacteria
Description: partial 16S ribosomal RNA
Rfam family: Bacterial small subunit ribosomal RNA
Source: RNAcentral
CACGUAGGGGGCGAGCGUUGUCCGGAUUUAUUGGGCGUAAAGAGCUCGUAGGCGGCUCAGUAAGUCGGGUGUGAAAUUUCAGGGCUCAACCCUGAAAAGCCACCCGAUACUGCUGUGGCUAGAGUCCGGUAGGGGAGCGUGGAAUUCCUGGUGUAGCGGUGAAAUGCGCAGAUAUCAGGAGGAACACCAGCGGCGAAGGCGGCGCUCUGGGCCGGAACUGACGCUGAGGAGCGAAAGCGUGGGGAGCGAACAGG